CAGGAACCGGCUACUGUAUUGAUGAUUGCUGACAGUGUUUUGGUGGCCGUCAAAAUGGAACUGCCUUUGUUAAUAACUCUUCUCAUCAACGGACCCCGUUUGCAUCAUCUAAAUAAGGUGAAGAUAUUAAGCCGUGUGCUUUGUGCAGCCGUGGAGAUACCUGCCUUGGUCUUGUUUUCUUUGGCUGAUCCCAUUAACG
Trematomus bernacchii (emerald rockcod) is the source of this 199-nucleotide long non-coding RNA. RefSeq lists it as uncharacterized. NCBI's taxonomy places the organism in Eukaryota, Metazoa, Chordata, Actinopteri, Perciformes, Nototheniidae. The record is from RefSeq and is a predicted model, not a curated record. The transcript has 3 exons.